Molecule: ribosomal RNA, 504 nt
Filed under: uncultured bacterium
Lineage: Bacteria
Description: partial 16S ribosomal RNA
Rfam family: Bacterial small subunit ribosomal RNA
Source: RNAcentral
AUUGAACGCUGGCGGCAGGCCUAACACAUGCAAGUCGAGCGGAAACGAAGGGAGCUUGCUCCCAGGCGUCGAGCGGCGGACGGGUGAGUAACACGUGAGAAUCUGCCCAUUAGUGGGGGACAACUCGGGGAAACUCGAGCUAAUACCGCAUAAUCCCUACGGGGGAAAGCAGGGGACCUUUUGGCCUUGCGCUGAUGGCUGAGCUCUCGUCGGAUUAGCUGGUUGGUGAGGUAAAGGCUAACCGAGGCGACGAUCCGGAGCUGGUCUGAGAGGAUGAUCAGCCACACUGGGACUGAGACACGGCACGGACCCCUACGGGAGGCAGCAGUGGGGAAUCUUGGACAAGGGGGGCAACCCUGAUCCAGCCAUGCCGCUUGUGUGAAGAAGGCCUACGGGUUGUAAAGCGCUUUCAGCAGGGAGGAAGGCUUUGGCCGAAUAGGUUGAAGUACUUGACGUUACCUGCAGAAGAAGCACCGGCUAAUUUCGUGCCAGCAGCCGCCGUAA